ACCCCGAGGAAGGGGUGGCUGGCGAGUCUACGGCGCUGCUAUUACUAACCGUCUACCUCAACAACACAAGUCUCUCCUGUCAUAAAGAGCUACCACGAGUACAGCAGCCUGUACAGAAAGUUAUCGGUGGUCAGGUAUCCAGCGCUGAACAGAAUAUUGACCAGCGACUACUAACACUCAGUCUAGAACCAGACAUUGAGCUCAGGUGAAAGUUUCAACACACACGUGUAGAGAAGCUGUGUCAGAAUAAUGUCUUCACAAGGGAACAGAAGUUUCCCACGGAUGAGGACUGCCUCACUGACUUCCAUUCCCAUUUCUUGUUUGAUGACGAGAAAAAAUCAUCUUCUGUUUUGUGCCUAAAAUAUCAGCUAACAGAUGAGGAGGGGGUUUCACCAAGAGCUAAGCUGCACACUCAGAACAUUUAUCAAAGUUGGCCACCAUUCCCAAACUCCCUCCCUCUGUGAAGGAUCUGAGAUAUUAUGACCAGCUGCUCCACAAUACUCGGUAGGCUUACGCCGCGCCGGACAAGAAGUACGAGUUGGGAUAACACCCCCUCACAAUGACUAAUGCACCUAAUUCACCUUUACUAGCGAAUCCAUAAUUAUACAUUUUGCUCAUAAAAGUCAUUGACUCUUUCUUUGUUGCUUAUCAUAAUUAUUAUUCAUCUGUGUGAGAUCUUUACCAAACAAACACAUUUGAGG
Molecule: long non-coding RNA, 701 nt
Organism: Halichondria panicea
Lineage: Eukaryota; Metazoa; Porifera; Demospongiae; Suberitida; Halichondriidae
Exons: 4
Source: RefSeq, a predicted model, not a curated record